Molecule: long non-coding RNA, 2083 nt
Organism: Mus spicilegus (steppe mouse)
Lineage: Eukaryota; Metazoa; Chordata; Mammalia; Rodentia; Muridae
Source: Ensembl
UGGCUGAACAGCGGGGGCGGGGCUAAGACGGCUCCAAGGCAGGCAGAGAAGCCCUACAGCCCAACGGACGCGAGCAGGGCACUCGUUGAUAGGCUGGGUAAUCAACAACAAGCGUGAUUAUUGCAGCCGGGAGUGAAGGCACUAAGGAAGCCUGGAACCAAUUAAUUGCUCCUGUAGAGAAAACAGCCCAGGGCUGGGCUCUGCUGCUCCCUGGUGCUUUGUGAGAAAAGACGAAAGACGGAUAGGAUUCUAAGACAGUGCAUUGCAGGCUUCCAGAGUUUUGUGUCCAGACCCCGAACAACGGACCAGUCCUCAAUCAAUGUGUGACAGAAGAGGACGAGAACAGGCUAUGAAACAAGCAGACCUGUGAGAGAUCACUUACUGCUGGGGGAAUCCUGUAGGCUUUGGAUGAUACGUCAGUGGCUCAUGGCUAAGCAUAGAGGGUAAGUAAGCUAACAUGAUGUAGACAGUUGGAAAGAAGAUAAGGUGAAGGGAGGAGUUCUUAGUCGCAGUGAAUUUAAUACUGGGAAUUUUCGGCACCAUGGCAUUUGGCAGGGAAGAUAUUUUGGGCAGUGGGGAUUGGGAUAUGUCUCCAGUUACACCAUAUGAGGAGUUGCUUACUCUUCUGUUUAUGGGUCCAGGCUUGUCUGUCUAGGGGCAUGUGAUCUGCAGGUGUUGAUGGGAAGGUCAGAGGGAGGAGGGGAGUGAGCAAGAGGCAGACAGGGAGAGAGAGAGAGAGAGAGAGAGAGAGAGAGAGAGAGAGAGAGAGAGAGAAAAGCUUUCCUAAGGCUGACUGCUCAGGGAACUUAACACCUCGGAGUAUGUUCUAAAGGAACUGCUCAAGACCUUUUAUUAAUGCAUAGCUUUUCACCUUUGGCACAGAGGAGAAAGCUCUGGAAGAUGUUCCACAGCACUGCACCAGCACUGUGCAGGAAACAUCUAAGGAGCUCGCUGGCACACUCAGUGUCUUGUUGGGCAGCCUUUCCUACCGCUUCUUUACGACCACAGAAAGCUGCUGUCCUGUGGAAUGGAAAACCAGAAUCAAUACCCGAUUACAGCAAAGUUCAAUGUCAUUCGGCCUGAUUCCACCGACCUCCGAAAAUCCACAAGGGGCAGGAGCUGAAAUUGAUGACCCUGAGGUCUCCAACUCAGAAUCCAACUUCUUGGGCUGCUAUCCAUAGGCUUUGAAUGGCAUUAAUCACCAAUAAUCACAGUUCCGGUAUUAAUAUUGCACAGUGCCAGAUAUUUCCCAUAUACAUAUCAUUUCAUCUUCAUAGCAACCCCACGAGGUGAUUAUUACUCUUUUACAGAGGAGAAAACUGAGGCUUAAGAUAACAUUAGCAUGUUAUCCCAUAUCUCAGGGGAGUGGGUGUCUGUGGUGUGUUUAGAUCUGGCCUUCGUGAUCUAAGUCUGUGCCACUGGGGCAGAGUCCAGAGAUCAGAGUCCGGAUUGGGGGUGUGAGGGAGAACAUGAGAUGGCACACGAGGUAAAGCCUGGUCAUCUAGGAAUAGGCAGUCCACAGCCCAGGACAGCCUUUCUCAGCCCUCUCUUUGCCCAGCAAGGUAGUGAGAGCACCGGAGACCUUUGUAUCUAGAAUUAUGUUCAACACCGCCGACUUUCGGGUGAGAAAGCAAAGGUGCAGAGGUUUGUUGUUGUUCAAAGAUUCACACAGCAGCUUGGAGAUAAGGCUCGUAUUGCUGCCCAUCUUUCUGCCCUCAGAAUGGAAUUUUGGCCACUCUACCUGGGUGCUUUUCCAGCCUUGCGUUCUGUUCUCUUGACGAGGAAGCAACGUGUUUACAGUGGAAGAUGAUGGGGCACGUCAUAGAUAAGCGAGCUAAUAAUAACAUUUGCUACGAUUCAUCAAGCACCUGUGAAACCCUGCCGCAGACACUCCAUAGGCAGGCUCUGUAAUUUUCACCGGAACUUUGCAAAAUCUGUAUUGUUGUUGGGUGGAGAGGUGGGGGCCAGGGGUGGAGAGGGAUUAGCCAAAUGAGAUUGAGUUCAUGAUUUUCCCAUUGUCCAGUGUAACCUCUGCAAUAAUUUCUCCCUCGUCCUAGAAAACCAAAAUCUCUGAUUUUUUUUU